GCCUUGCAUUUAAUAACCCUCUAGGGCUAAGACAGCUUUGUGUGUAAGUCCACUCGGUGCCAUAUGGCAGUUUCCAAUUCCUUUAGCAACUCAAUUCUAGCUAGACUGCCCGCAAUGAUUCAUUCUUAAAGGAAGACCCCUUGGGGCUCAGUAAUGCCCCCUCCACUUACCUAGCUCCCACCGACCCCGCUCGGCAGGCGGCUCGGGCUCCACAAAGAGCUGUGGGAUUCCCCGCUCCCUCCGGGGCUCCUCUCCCCGCGACGGUCCCCUUCGCCAAUGAUCUGUCGCUGGAAAUCCCCCUCCCCUCCACGGAGAGGAGGGUCUCCCCGGCUGGCUGGAGCUCUUGCCUUUUUUUUUUUUUCCACCCUCUCUUUACAUGCCUGACUCUGGUUCACGAUCUCUAGUAGGAAGGCUCAACGGAGAGGCGGCGGGAGGAAGGAAGCUAAGGCAUCCUUAAAAAGAACAAUAAUCUUCAGAGAUCUUCACCCCCUUCCCCAUCGCGGGUCCCCAUUCCCCUGCCGCCGCCGGCGGCGCCCAGACCAGAGAGGGCUGGGAUAGAAAAGGAAAAAAAAUCGAGCCGGGCUCAGCUCGCCGCGCGGAAGGAGCCGGGAAGGCGAGCGGCUCCAGCCGGGGGAGUUGUCGCUCGCUCGGGCUGCCCGCGGCGCGGCGGCCGGCGGGGGCGCAGGGCGGUGGGUGCUUGGUGGGUGUGUGUCUGUGGCGGAGCCGGGGAGAGGCUGGGCGCGGGAGGCGAGGCGGGGCGCUCGGGGGCGCCAGCUCGGGCGCGCACACCCGCCCGCGGCCACCCCGCCUCGCGCUCCGCCUCCUCCCGCGCUCCGCGCGCCCGCGGACUGGAGCGGCGGCCGUCGCCGCCGCCGCCUUCUCCUCCUCUUCCUGGGCGCCCGCAGCUCUCGAGAGAACUGUGCCAAGUUCCUCCUUGGAGAGGCAGCCAGAUGGACACCCAGAACUUUCCGUAUCUUCGUGUCGAGGAUGAAAAUCUGGUUAAAACAAAUGUAGACGUUGACAAGCACAAUCUACAAAAAGGAGAGAAAAGGAAAAGAAAUAACCUAUUGGUGGUCCUCAAAGGGAUGGAGAGAUAAUCAGAUAUGGGAAUGGAGAAUUAAACAUGGAAAUUCAGCCUGUGAAAUGAGUCUAAUUAUCAUGAAAUCCGCCUACUUGGACUUUCUGCUCCUGCCAUCACGGAAGUCCCCAUACGGCCCCAGCAAGGAUCAGUUCACGUGGCAGUGUGUUGGGAGAUGUUAGUGUCACUGAAGAAGCAAGUCUUCAUGAGCUCUAACUUGACCGUGAUUUUGACUGGAAUUAAAAAUACAGAAGUGAAAAUGUUGAAAAGACUAUUUUUUCCUCACCUCCCCACCCGUAUUUGUACUCUGUACCUGUGUGUGUGCUGAGUCAUUUCAGUCGUGUCCGACCCUUCUAUCACGUAAGAAAGUGAGUUCAAUAGAAAAUUAACUUCUCCUGAGAACAGCAACAAAAAUUAAAACCACAUCCCUCCCAUGGCUCCUGCUAAUUCGAGUAGGGGGAUGAACUUUUACCUGCAGAAAUCAGUUUCUCUUCUUCCCUCUGUCACUACAUAUAUUUACCUCCAAAACUAGCCCCUGAUGUUAGCUGGGGUUGUCCAUCACAGGUACCAGGUGGGCUUAGCUAGUGGUAGCACACACAAAGUGUGUCAUUCUCCUAUACUGCUUUGAAUUCCUAAAUGUAAUAGUUAUGACAACUGCAUUUGAUAACAAUUGACACAAAAGAAAUCUAGUAUAAGCGUCAUCACCUUUUCUACUAUGAAUUGCAUUAAUUUAAAACACUUCUGGGAAUUCCCUGGUGAUCCACCAGUUAGGACUUCAUGCUGCCACUGCAGGAGGCACAGAUUUGACCCCUGGUUGGAGAGCUAAGAUCCUGCAAAUUGGGGCCAAACACACACACACACACACACACACACACAGAAAAGCAAAAUAGUAAAACAUUUCUAAUAUCUAUAUUCCAAUGAGAAAUCUUUAAAGUUCAAUAUUUUGCACAAAGUUCAUUUGGAAACUUGAAGGGCACUGUACAAAGGAUGUCAUAAAAUUGGAGGAGACUGUUUUCAUAUGGGAUUUCCCUGGUGGCUCAGACUAUAAAGAAUCCUCCUGUCAUGCAAGAGACCUGGGUUUAGUCCCUGGGUUGGGAAGAUUCCCCUGGAAAAGGGAAUGGCUACCCACUCCAGUAUUCUUGCCUCCAUAUGUAGGUAAAAUGAAAUUUACCUGUUAAGAACUGCAAGCUCAAGAGAGUUUCUAGGAACAAGAAUUUCAACACAGAGUCAGGUUUUCAGCUUAUACAAUUUUCUGUAUCGCCUAUGGCAAUUACCAAUAGUUGUAGAACUGGAAACUAGUGCAAAAAUAAAAAAAAGAAACAUUAACA
RNAcentral lists this long non-coding RNA (2406 nucleotides) under Bos indicus x Bos taurus (hybrid cattle). Its description in RNAcentral is "lncRNA (ENSBIXG00005018898.1)". The record is from RNAcentral. Lineage: Eukaryota; Metazoa; Chordata; Mammalia; Artiodactyla; Bovidae.